This is a non-coding RNA of Odocoileus virginianus texanus, 7788 nucleotides long. The record is from RefSeq and is a predicted model, not a curated record. Lineage: Eukaryota; Metazoa; Chordata; Mammalia; Artiodactyla; Cervidae.
GAUGGAGAGGAGGCCCUGAUUCCUGCCACCUUGACUCUCAGGAGGGGUCUGGUCAGUCAGAUUGAAAUCAAGUCAGCUUAUACAUGGAAAGGAUCAAGCGGUCAAUAAUUUGACUUAAUUUUUCGAGUUAUAAGUGAGUCAGGGCCUUGAUCGUCUCUCUUUAAGCCAUUGUCAGCCCUAACCACCCCUGUUUCUGCCCCUCCCCGUCUGCCAGUGACCACCUGGCCGGCUGGACCCCGGCCUCUGGAGCCCUGCUGCCCACCCACUGACCCUUCAGAUUCACCCAACCUCUGACUCCUGCAGCAGGUAUUCCCAGACGUGCUGGGCCCCAGAGCCCCGGAAGUGGAAGAAAGUUUAGGUGUGAGCCCCCCGACAGCUGUCGCACUUCCUGCUGCCCUGUCACAAGUCAUUGUGCUGAGUAGCUCAGCGCUGCUGAGGCCAGAGGUCUGGGAAGGGCCUCCCUGGGCUGGAGAUGAAGGUGUCGGCAGGGCUGGCCCUUGUGGAGUCUCCUGGGGAGAAUCUGGGCUUUUUCCAGCGUACAGAGGCUCCUCCGUCUGCAAAGGUCCUCUGUACUGAGUCAGGAUCCUGCUAGCCCCCACGCCACCACUGGGUGACAAGCUCCUCACCUCUGUCCUGCUCCCCCAGGGUUCCCAGGUCCAUCAGCAGGUCUCGAGUGGCACUGAAGGAAACUUUUGCAUCAAGACUCAAAGCAAAGCUCCACUGGCAGCCUUGUUGGGUGACCACAAACCUGGACCCUGUGCAGGCUCACCUGGCGUCCCCAGGUAGUCCUCCCAGAAGCCGCCCUCCUUCGCAGGCAGAGAUGUGACUGACACCCGCCAGCCCCUCUGAGCAAGUGGAAGAAGCUAAUUGCAGCUAGUGUUCAGGAGCUCCAGGGCCCAGGCUCCAUGGCCCACCAAGGGCUGUGCCUCGAGCCCUCCUCCAGGGCUGCAGAUGAAUGCCCCUCGAGUCCAUGUCCUGAUGCCAGGAACCCAGGAAUGUGGAAUCCAGGGUGCUGGUCCAGUGACCCUGAAGUGGACAGUGUCCCAGACUAUCCGGGGCCCCGGUGUGAUCACAGGUGUAAGGCUCCACACAAAAGUAAGUGAGGGGCAGCCGAAGAGGUCAGUGCGGUGUGUGGGAAGGACUCGUUCUGACCUGCUGGCCUCAGAGAUAGAGGGAGGGACCAUGAGCUGAGGAAAGCGGCCAGAUAAGUUGGAGACAGACCCACUGUGGAGAUGAAUUCCCCCUGGAGCCUCUAGAAAGUGGGCACACUGACCCGGGACGAGCAGCAUGGAGCUUCUAAGCAAAUUCGGGGAGGAGGGGCUUCCUGCUGACUGAGCUUAUGAGACAGAGCAGAGUCUGCAGAAAGCGUGUUUACAUUUUUUCAAAUGUAAACUGGACUAAUUGUCAGUAAUGAUAAAAAUAACCUGCAUUUGUAACUGGAUUUAGCGUUUGCAACGCAGGCACAUCAGCAUGUAUUAACCUCUGAAAAUGUGGAGACUGCAGAUGGGACUUGACUGGGCAAGGUCAAGGCACUCACUCAAGGUCACCUGGCUACGCUACAAGUGAUGCUGCGAAGAGGCAGCACCGCUUCCAACACUGCCCAGUGCAGACAGACACUGGAAGACUCACCUUUGAUGAUAAAAGGCAAGGGCUGCUUUCAAAAUUAAACUCACUUGCCAUGUCUUAGCAACAAGAACAGUGAGAUUACGAGUGAUUUCCGAAACUGUUUUUCCAAAGCUUUACCUGAGUGAAAACCCCAUAACAGAAGGCCUAUCUGGGACUAGCCUCCAGAAAUCCUUCUGGGGGAGGCAGUGUGCUAGCUAGGACAUGAACCCCUGAAGCCUGUUCCCUCGCUCAUCCUGCUCCGUCCCGCACAUCCCACCGCAGGGCCCACGCACUGGACAGACCUCCACGCCGACGGGCUGGCUGCACUGCCCGCCUGGUCACCUGCUCUUUAAUUGGGAAGCCCAGCGUCCAGGCCCGCGGCACUGCCCCACCGCCACGCCCCACCGCCCCAGUCCUUCAUUAGUGCAGCCUCCUAAUUGAUUAAACGGAUGAUUGAUUAUCGGGCCUGAGCCAUGUGUUCUCCAGACGCCCAUUUGCUUGGAAUUGAAGGAGUGCGGCCACAUCCAUCACCGCUCGCUGCCCGCAGACACAGAGCCAGAGCUGCCGUGGGCCGCCGCUGUAAUUGCUGCCAGGCCCCCCUGAAGCAGGUGCAUAUGCACCAUCAGUUCUGCUGUCUUGAUGUGUGCGUCCUGCCAGCAGGCCACUGUGAGAUGCUGCUGAAGCAGGGCAUAGUGUCCCAGCCCCCACAGCCAGCCACACUGGGGUGGGAACACAGUCCCAAGAUGGGAACUCGGCCCGGAUAUGGGAACUCGGUCCCGUGAUAGGAGCACUGUCCAGAGAUGGGAACUCGACCCAGAGAUGGAAAUUCGGUCCCGAGAUGAGAACUGGGUCCCAAGAUGAGAACUGGGUCCCAAGAUGAGAACUCGGUCCCACCAUGAUGCCCAGUGAUGUUCCAUCAAAGAGCAGGUUGUGAGGAAUUCAGGUGAUGCCUGCUGUGAGUGGGCACAUUCCCCCUGUCUGACGAGACAGUGAUCCCAGAUUGGUACCUGGAGUCAGAGACUCGGUUUCCUUCCUCCUGGACUUCCACCCUCAGGCAAGCCCUGAGGAGACAGCCCUCCUCACCACGCAGCCCUCCGAAGCCCAGGUAUCACAUCACCCCCAUCUGGACACAAGAAAGUGGGGGAGAGGCGAGAGUCACUCUGCCAGUCUAGCCGCACGAGGCCCUUUGUCUCAGCAAGCUGGGAGACAGGCACAGCAUCAAAGGGAUGCAGGGCAGGCGCAUGACGGUCACACACGGUCCUGGGACCCCAGGCCUGAGCUCCUUUCUGCAGGGGUGCAUCCAUGAACUGUCUUUCUAGGCUAAGCCAUGAACCUCCAUGACUUCUGUGCUUCUUUAAAGUGAAGGAGUAAUUGGAAGGCAAGUAUAAAGCUGUGUGACUGCAGAGUGCUGUGUGUCAGUGAUUAUCUCUUCAGUCUUCUGACAGUGACUGGUCUCACCCAUGGCAAAAUUGGGAGCAAUGCUUAUGCUACUCACCUUCACUCAGUCUUUCAGAAUCAUGAGCCUCCAUUUUCAUAAAUCAUCAGCUCCUUCUCUUCUCCAUCAGCCUCCAUGAAUACGCAUUCCAAAGCAGUUUUUGUGCAUGGAUUUUCUGGAAAGAAAUCGAAGCUGGGGACGGUUCUGCUGGUCACCUUCCCAGUCUCACCACUGGAGUGGAGGAGGAGAGACUCACUGAAAUAUCUUUCAUGUCCACGAGCCUAUCAUCUGAUGUUCCCAAAUCUUUGCGUCAUUGUUGGUCUUCAGUGGACACACGUGGCCGAGUCACCACAAGCCCAGAUGGGGUGAGGGUGCCGUUCACACCUCUUCAUCAGCCCCACCUCCUGUUGGAGGCCCCGCACCGGGACACCAGGGCUAAGGUCAGAGGCUCCAUUUCGGUACCAACAGUACCUCAGUUAAAGGCAUUACACCAAUGUUCCUUGGCUCAAAACUGCCAUAGGUGGGUGAGGAAGGAGCCGUGAGGAGCAGGCCUGAAGAAGGAUGCAAAGAUUGAUGUCACCUGUGGGCAGGGGGCUCCGAGUCCUGACUCAGGCAGAGAUGUGAGAAGUAGUCCUGUCAUCUGAGGCCGCCACCCCUGGGGCAGGACUAGAGCACUGCCCCUCCAUCCCUUCUGGAUGGAUUCAUGCACACACAAGACAGGUACACCCUUUCCAUGAGUAAGGGCCAAACUGCCAGCACUCCAGAAGACCCUGGCAGAUGCUCCUGCUUCCUGGUGGGAGCCCAGUGCCGCCAGGCGGACAUCAUUGCUUGAUCAGAUGGAUGUUUCUCCUUCCUGCUGGGAGGUGGUCUCCACACUUACCACACGGCUUUCAAAGGAUGGCCAUGUCCCAAGCUCUGGAACCUGUGUGUCAUGUUCCCUGGAAAGGGACAAUUUAGGUUUCUAGUCAGCUGACCUGAGACAUAGAGAACUGGAGAGCCCUGAUGCUACUGACCCUGAAGAUGGAGCAAGGGGUCACGGGCUCAGAAACGCGGUGCCCCUAGAGGCUGUAAACGGCCCAGGAACAAAUGCAGAUUCUCAGGGGCUCCAGAGAGAACCAGCCCUCUGACCCCUUGUUUUCGCCCAGCGAGACCCAUGUCGGAAUUCUACCCUAGAGAAUUGUGAGUAGAUUUGUGAUGAUUUGUUACAGUGGCAACAGUUCUCUAAUUCAGUCCCACUCCGGGACCAAGUUCAGAGUCCAAGGGAGGAUUGUAAAGGAAGGUUUGUGAACCAAAGAUGUGAUGAGUGGGUUACAGCCGUCCCUUCCAGAGCUUCCUCUCUCAUGCCAACUCCACAGAAUGAUUUGCUCUGAGGUCGGCCCUCAGAACAGCCCCUCGGCCCCCAGAGGGGUCGGAGUCACCAGAGGAGAUCCCAAGGACCUGACCUGGCACCAGCAACCCCGCAGGGUCAAGAAAGCGGGGUUUGCAAACUUGCCACCUCAGUUCUGCUGCUCGUGGGACACUGGGAGAGGUCAGAGAGGACACUUCAGGCCUGCUUGACACCCUGCCGUGUGUUACCAGAGUCAGUGUCCCGGCAGUCAUGACGAGACUGUCUCAUGUCCCUUCACGGGCAGGAACUCAUGGCCGCCUUCCUGCUCCAGCUUCACAGCUGCCCUCGUGGGGUCGUGAAGAGCUUCUGGAAACCUCAGUGAAGGGCCCAUGAAACAGACUCCCUCCUUGCCAUCUCUCCAUGUGCACAACUGGACAGGAACUUCUGCCAGCCUGAGGUUGGCCAUCCAGCCUAGACCCUCAGGCUGGGCAUCACUCAGCCUCCCUUGACCAGAACUUUGCACACAUAGACACACACACACACAGACACACACACACACUGAUGGGUGUGUGCACACACUGAGAUGCACAAGACACAUACCCAUGCACACACACAUGUAAGCACACACAUGUCCACCCCACCUGGCAGGCUCAGUGGCUGGGCCCCAGCACAGGGUUUGGACCACAAGCAUGAGAACCCCACUUCCUCCCGUGUUUACACUCCCACCUGCCACUAAUCCCACUUGCUGCAAACUCCAAGUUCAUUUCCCUAGAAGGAAGGAAAGUCUCAAGCUCACGGCAGCUACUGUGGGGGAGGGAGCUGGGUGCCUUCACUUCCCCAGGCGGAGGGCUGAGGACACCACUGACCCCCCUGGGCAGAGUCCAGGGCCCCUGGACGUGUCUGCCCCCAGAGCACACACCAGACACUGUGGCAGGCCUCACCACCAGGCAGCCUUGUGGGCGGGGUGGGGGGUUGGGUGUCUGCUUGGUGGUCCCCAGGCAAAUAGCGGGCCUCCUCGUGUUCCCCGAGUACAGCCCGCACCCACUCAAAGGCACCCAGCUGCACUCUGGCCUCUUCCGUCCUCACUGGAAACCUGAGCGCAGAAGAGUGCGAGCUGAGUUCCCUUGAAAGGAGCCUGGCACAGAUGACCCGAGGCUGGAGCUGGCGUGGGGGGUGCCACCCCUCCCCAAGCCCCCUGACCAUACAAAGCCACCCACUCUGAGGACCCAGAGGCAGACAACAGGCCCAGCAGCUCCUGCCUCUGAGGCCUGAGCCCCCGGCCACGGUCACAGAGCUGCUGCGGCCAGGGUCAAGCGGGCACUGGUCUCCAAGGUUGGUCUAUGCUGACCACACAACUGGUGUCCUCGGCACUGGGGUCCUCAGGAAAGUGCCACUGGGUUUCUGCAUGGGGCCCCGUCCUCUCAGGAGCUGAGGGUCCUUCCUGGCCCCACAUGACAGCCAUGGAGACUGCAUGACUCCGGGGCACAGCCGUCCAGUGUGCGCUGUUGCAGAAGCGGGGGGACUCUGAUGCUUGGACACACCUCGCAGGAGACUCCAAGGCCGGGUACCUGUCAGCUCCGUGCUGCAGGAGGGAGGUUGGUCUGCUCCGGCCCCCUGCAGCCACUUUUCUGCUGUUGACUGGGUCCUGGGUGUGGGACUGUCACCUAAACCCUCCCCGGGGACUGCCACCAGAAACUCCAGCAUCCAGCGAAGUUUCCGCACACUUCUCAGCCUCUUAACCCAGGAGAGGAGACUCGGAACGUCCAAGCACAGCAGUCCUCGGGCUCUAAGACAGUUUGCAGGGAGGCAGUUGUCACGGUCAGGGACUUGCCGUAGGACUCUGGGCAGCAGCCAGUCAGGGUGGUCGUGGGGGGUCUCUGACCGUGCCCUGCACCCAUGGUGGCUGUGGGCACUGUAGCCUCGGAGCUCGGAGUUAAUCAUACAUGGAGCAGCCUGUGCCGUCUGGACUCUGUCUUCAGGUGGGGCAUAGUGCACCCACCCCUCUGCCAUGUGGCUCACGCUCGGGGGAGACCAGGUGACCCCUGGAGGGCGUCCGGGCCCUCACUUGGGCCUUUGCUGCCUUUGUGGGGACAGCAGAGUUGACACCCUUCGGGACGGACCACGCUGCCCGGCCCCAAGCCUGCACCUCAGUCUGCGAGGAGCAUCGGCAGGGUUGCCUCCACGUGGUCUCCUCUGGGCCGUCGUAACAGUAAGGAGGUGGUCUAGGCCUGGGACGGCCCUGCCAGCCUCCUCUAGGGGAGGGCAGUCCCGCCCUGCCCAUUCGGUGCGCUGCUUUCUUUCCCCUCACUUCAGAGACCCAGGAAACACCAGCUGGCAGGAGUUUAGUGAGGAGACAAGUAUGUAAAACACCAGCUGAUGUGAAUUUAGUGAGGAAAUGAGUUCGUAAAGCCUCAGUCCCUCUGAGGACCCUGGAUGAGGUCCCUCUGGAUGGACCACAUGCUCCAAGGGAUAAAGGUCCGGCCAUGCGCAGGUCCUGUUGGGUCAGGAUCAGGGUGUCCAGCCUCCUCGGGGCAGAGUCACCUCCUGGUGCCCCGACAGCCACUUCCCCCACAGUCCUGACAUGACUCUUCCUUACUGGUUUUGCCUUAAGCAUUCACUGCCAGAUUUCCCAAUUCUUCUCUAAAAACUAACAAAGUGCUUUAUUACUUUCUGAUAAUUUCCCCAAGGCAAAAAAAUUUGAAAGUAGUAACAUGAUUGUAAAUGAGCAAUUACAUUAUGCCAGAGGCUGUGGGCUACCUGACAAGUACUUUCACAAAUCAGUGUCACAGGACAGCAGGGGGAUGAUUGAAACGACCUCACUUCUCUCCUCUUUCUCAGCCGCACCUGUGUCCCGGGAGCAGGCCCGGGAGGGAGGUCUCAAGCUCCCCCCACAUCUCGGGACAGGGUGGUGCUGUGCUGCCCUUCAGUUCCCCCGCGUCCCCCUCCCAGGGGUGGUCUCACGCAACAUCACGUCCCCCGAGCCCAGUUUCCAAGGCACUGUCCAUCGGAACACACCAGCUGACUCGUGGAAUCAGACGGUCCUUUCUUCUCUCCAAGGAUGUGGUGCUCCUAAUCUUUCUCUGACCAGUUCUGCCUCCUCAUGAAAUAUUCAUCGCCUGAGAGCAUCCACCCCGGGAAAGCGGCCCAGCCUCGAGAAAGUCAGGGGCGGGGGGAGCUAUGCUUGUUCACUUGCUGGUGCCCCAGCAAGUGGGGGCCGGGCCCUUCUUGGGCUGUGCCCUCCCCCAGUCCUUCAGCUGCCUCUGCACAGGCAGCGGAUGAGUCAUGGAGACCAUGGACGCUUUAAGGAGGUCUUUUCGAUGUUGCUGGAUGGAUUGCAGCUGUAAUGCAAUCUCCAUCCGCACCCCCACUGCUUCCUGGGAACCGGCGAGAGAUGGCAGCUGCAGGGCCAGGUCUGGAGGGG